UCAUCUUAUCCUAACUAGUAACCAUUGUUUCUUUUUUUUCUUUACAGAAUCAAAUUUCUUUAUUUGUAUAUGCAAAGCUUCCCAUCUCAUCUUUUAGAGAUGUCAUCACAUCUGCAGUGGAAUCCUUUCCGAGAGACUGCGGUGUACUGGCGGAGAAGAAAUUAAAAAGGUGGAUGAGGCAGAAAAAGAUGAUGUUUGGUUGUGAAGAGGAACCUUGCUAUCUCUCCUGGUCUCGUGAUGCCUCUCAGCUUCAAGCCAUCUGGAUUUGUGGUGUUUGUUGACCUUCAUGGCCUGCUCUGCAUCCGGCUCGGCUCAAGAGAAUCUUUCUGACCUGAGACAAUGAGACAUGCUUAAGAGAAUCAAGAUGUGGAAGCGUUACUAUCGGACUUCUCUCCGCCAGUCGCAGUGCAGUAGUGGUGCUCCCAAGUCACAGGGUUGUGGUGGUGGUCGCUGUAAGUCCAAUUGAAGAGGCGGCGGUGAAGAUGUGGUUUAUUUUUUUUUUUUUUAGAUUUUUCUUUUGAUGUGGUUUAUUUUUGUAAACCAAUUUAAUUUGUAAACCAAUUUAGUUUGUAAACCAAAUUUAAUUUAUAAAACAAAAAUUUCAUUGGUAAAAAGAAUAA
Raphanus sativus (radish) is the source of this 620-nucleotide long non-coding RNA. RefSeq lists it as uncharacterized. The record is from RefSeq and is a predicted model, not a curated record. The transcript has 2 exons. Lineage: Eukaryota; Viridiplantae; Streptophyta; Magnoliopsida; Brassicales; Brassicaceae.